Molecule: ribosomal RNA, 514 nt
Filed under: uncultured bacterium
Lineage: Bacteria
Description: bacterial SSU rRNA
Rfam family: Bacterial small subunit ribosomal RNA
Source: RNAcentral
GAGUUUGAUCCUGGCUCAGGAUGAACGCUGGCGGCGUGCUUAACACAUGCAAGUCGAGCGAAGCACCUUGACGGAUUUCUUCGGAAUGAAGUUUUGGUGACUGAGCGGCGGACGGGUGAGUAACGCGUGGGUAACCUGCCUCAUACAGGGGGAUAACAGUUAGAAAUGGCUGCUAAUACCGCAUAAGCGCACAGAGCUGCAUGGCUCAGUGUGAAAAACUCCGGUGGUAUGGGAUGGGCCCGCGUCUGAUUAGGCAGUUGGCGGGUAACGGCCCACCAAACCGACGAUCAGUAGCCGGCCUGAGAGGGCGACCGGCCACAUUGGGACUGAGACACGGCCCAAACUCCUACGGGAGGCAGCAGUGGGGAAUAUUGCACAAUGGGGGAAACCCUGAUGCAGCGACGCCGCGUGAGCGAAGAAGUAUUUCGGUAUGUAAAGCUCUAUCAGCAGGGAAGAUAAUGACGGUACCUGACUAAGAAGCCCCGGCUAACUACGUGCCAGCAGCCGCCGUAAC